UGGUGUUGUUACUACAUAGGUAUAACUGGUGGUAAUUCUAGACGCUAAUACAUGCUUAAAAUCUCGACCCUUUGGAAGAGAUGUAUUUAUUAGAUAAAAAAUCAAUGUCUUCGGACUCUUUGAUGAUUCAUAAUAACUUUUCGAAUCGCAUGGCCUUGUGCUGGCGAUGGUUCAUUCAAAUUUCUGCCCUAUCAACUUUCGAUGGUAGGAUAGUGGCCUACCAUGGUUUCAACGGGUAACGGGGAAUAAGGGUUCGAUUCCGGAGAGGGAGCCUGAGAAACGGCUACCACAUCCAAGGAAGGCAGCAGGCGCGCAAAUUACCCAAUCCUAAUUCAGGGAGGUAGUGACAAUAAAUAACGAUACAGGGCCCAUUCGGGUCUUGUAAUUGGAAUGAGUACAAUGUAAAUACCUUAACGAGGAACAAUUGGAGGGCAAGUCUGGUGCCAGCAGCCGCGGUAAUUCCAGCUCCAAUAGCGUAUAUUAAAGUUGUUGCAGUUAAAAAGCUCGUAGUUGAACUUUGGGCCCGGUUGGCCGGUCCGAUUUUUUCGUGUACUGGAUUUCCAACGGGGCCUUUCCUUCUGGCUAACCUUGAGUCCUUGUGGCUCUUGGCGAACCAGGACUUUUACUUUGAAAAAAUUAGAGUGUUUCAAAGCAGGCGUAUUGCUCGAAUAUAUUAGCAUGGAAUAAUAGAAUAGGACGUUUGGUUUCUAUUUUGUUGGUUUCUAGGACCAUCGUAAUGAUUAAUAGGGACGGUCGGGGGGCAUCAGUAUUCAAUUGUCAGAGGUGAAAUUCUUGGGAUUUAUAGAAGACUAACUACUGCCAAAGCAUUUUGCCAAAGGACGUUUUCAUUAAUCAAGAACGAAAGUUAGGGGGAUCGAACGAUGAUCAGAUACCGUCGUAGUCUUAACCAUAAACUAUGCCGACUAGGGAUCGGGGGGUGUUGUUUUAAUGUCCUAUUCGCACCUUCACGAGAAAUCAAAGUCUGUUUGGUUCGCGGGGG
RNAcentral lists this ribosomal RNA (1000 nucleotides) under Saccharomyces cerevisiae (brewer's yeast). RNAcentral's name for it is "SSU rRNA". It matches the Rfam family "Eukaryotic small subunit ribosomal RNA", at positions 122 to 1121 of the family's 1831-position model. Lineage: Eukaryota; Fungi; Ascomycota; Saccharomycetes; Saccharomycetales; Saccharomycetaceae. The record is from RNAcentral.